UUUGACCUGAAAUCAGGUAGGGCUACCCGCUGAACUUAAGCAUAUC
RNAcentral lists this ribosomal RNA (46 nucleotides) under Papiliotrema flavescens. RNAcentral's name for it is "partial 28S ribosomal RNA". The record is from RNAcentral. RNAcentral also lists the same sequence under 1 other name. Lineage: Eukaryota; Fungi; Basidiomycota; Tremellomycetes; Tremellales; Rhynchogastremaceae.